Long non-coding RNA from Dendroctonus ponderosae (mountain pine beetle), 521 nucleotides. RefSeq lists it as uncharacterized. The record is from RefSeq and is a predicted model, not a curated record. NCBI's taxonomy places the organism in Eukaryota, Metazoa, Arthropoda, Insecta, Coleoptera, Curculionidae. The transcript is spliced from 3 exons.
AAUACCAGAAACGAACAUUUCGAUAGCUGGCGUGCCAGAGUGUGUAUGGCAGUCGCACAAGGUUAAUAAGUUUUCGGUAAAAUUGGUGAAACCUUUUCUCCUUGAAGACAUGCCCCGAAAGUUUGAUUGAGCAGUUCAAUCAGGGACACUGAUUCCUGGGGGUCUGGAGCGAAUAUUUUGGGGUUUAAGGAUUUUCGUAAUCGGAGGUGUUCCUACGUGAGCCUAGUUGACUGUCUAGCUACUUAUUUAGACGUAAAUUUGCUGGAAUGGCGCACCAAUUUGACUAGAGAGCGCUUUACGAAGCUGCCCUCCUCAGAGUUGAUGGCCACAAUUUUCCAACUAACUCCAGAACCAUCAGAGCACAUGAGCCUUAGUUGGAGCGAAAUCCAGAGCCCCAAAAAUUGCUACUGAGGUUCAUCAGAAGGACGUUAAUAAAUUUUAAUUAGUCGACGGUUGAAAGCACCAAAUAAGGGUACCAGUAAAAGGUUUCUUUCUUCCAUGCAAAUAAAAUACACGUUUAA